UACGUAGGGCGCAAGCGUUAUCCGGAAUUAUUGGGCGCAAAGAGCUCGUAGGCGGUUUGUCGCGUCUGCCGUGAAAGUCCGGGGCUUAACUCCGGAUCUGCGGUGGGUACGGGCAGACUUGAGUGAUGUAGGGGAGACUGGAAUUCCUGGUGUAGCGGUGAAAUGCGCAGAUAUCAGGAGGAACACCGAUGGCGAAGGCAGGUCUCUGGGCAUUAACUGACGCUGAGGAGCGAAAGCAUGGGGAGCGAACAGG
This 253-nucleotide ribosomal RNA is filed under the name uncultured bacterium. RNAcentral describes it as "partial 16S ribosomal RNA". It matches the Rfam family "Bacterial small subunit ribosomal RNA", at positions 524 to 776 of the family's 1533-position model. The record is from RNAcentral.